UAGAACCUAUUUAUAAUGGCGGCAUUUUAUCUUAUUAGAGGAACCUGUUUUCUAAUCGACAAUCCACGUUAAUUUUCACUUCAAUUAAAAAUUUAUAUACCGCCAUCUAAAAAACUAAUUCAAUGAUAAUAUUUUCAAUAAAAACUAAAAAGUUAGGUCAAGGUGUAAUCUACAUUCAAGUAAAUAAUGGGUUACAUUAAAAACAAUUUAAGGAUUGUUAUAUAAAAAUAUUCCUCAAAAAAGGAUUUAAAUGUAAUAGUAAAAUAAUAUUUCACUAUG
RNAcentral lists this ribosomal RNA (279 nucleotides) under Alopecosa licenti. RNAcentral's name for it is "partial 12S ribosomal RNA". The record is from RNAcentral. Lineage: Eukaryota; Metazoa; Arthropoda; Arachnida; Araneae; Lycosidae.